CGGGGUAUGGGAAAGCUUGGCAAUCCGCCUCGUUCGGGACGAGGAGACCGGCGGUUCAAAUCCGUCUACCCCGAC
This 75-nucleotide transfer RNA is filed under the name Mycobacteroides abscessus. Its description in RNAcentral is "tRNA-Pro(cgg)". It matches the Rfam family "tRNA". Rfam says of the family: Transfer RNA (tRNA) molecules are approximately 80 nucleotides in length. Their secondary structure includes four short double-helical elements and three loops (D, anti-codon, and T loops). The record is from RNAcentral. Lineage: Bacteria; Bacillati; Actinomycetota; Actinomycetes; Mycobacteriales; Mycobacteriaceae. RNAcentral also lists the same sequence under 2 other names.